This 425-nucleotide ribosomal RNA is filed under the name uncultured bacterium. RNAcentral describes it as "bacterial SSU rRNA". It matches the Rfam family "Bacterial small subunit ribosomal RNA", at positions 355 to 775 of the family's 1533-position model. The record is from RNAcentral.
UUAAGAAUCUUGCGCAAUGGGCGAAAGCCUGACGCAGCGACGCCGCGUGGACGAUGAAGGCCUUCGGGUUGUAAAGUCCAAUAAGCAGGGAGGCAUAAGUGGAGUCUAAUAUGCUUCAUGAUGACGGUACCUGUCUAAAGCCUCCGCUAACUACGUGCCAGCAGCCGCGGUAACACGUAUGAGGCGAGCGUUCUUCGGAUUUAUUGGGCGUAAAGAGCGUGUAGGCGGGGGAUGAAGUUAGGUGUGAAAUCCAUUGGCUCAACCAGGGAAUUGCACUUAAUACUGAUUCUCGUGGGUUCGGGAGAGGAGAGCGGAAUGCCCGGUGUAGCGGUGAAAUGCGUAGAUAGCGGGAAGAACACCAGUGGCGAAGGCGGCUCUCUGGCCUAGAACUGACGCAGAGACGAGAAAGCGUGGGGAGCAAACGG